Non-coding RNA from Haliaeetus albicilla (white-tailed eagle), 88 nucleotides. Lineage: Eukaryota; Metazoa; Chordata; Aves; Accipitriformes; Accipitridae. The record is from Rfam.
GCAUGUGUUCCUGCAAUUGAUCUCUUUGAUGACAUUCUCAUUCAUAGAAAGAGUUUGAUUUAUGACUUUCGGAAGAAUUGCGUUCAGC